Molecule: ribosomal RNA, 384 nt
Filed under: uncultured bacterium
Lineage: Bacteria
Description: bacterial SSU rRNA
Rfam family: Bacterial small subunit ribosomal RNA
Source: RNAcentral
AUUGAACGCUGGCGGCAUGCCUUACGCAUGCAAGUCGAACGGCAGCACGGGGCAACCUGGUGGCGAGUGGCGAACGGGUGAGUAAUGCAUCGGAACGUGCCAUUGAGUGGGGGAUAACGUAGCGAAAGUUGCGCUAAUACCGCAUAUUCUGUGAGCAGGAAAGCAGGGGACCGCAAGGCCUUGCGCUCUUUGAGCGGCCGAUGUCAGAUUAGCUAGUUGGUGAGGUAACGGCUUACCAAGGCGACGAUCUGUAGCGGGUCUGAGAGGAUGAUCCGCCACACUGGAACUGAGACACGGUCCAGACUCCUACGGGAGGCAGCAGUGGGGAAUUUUGGACAAUGGGCGCAAGCCUGAUCCAGCCAUGCCGCGUGAGUGAAGAAGGCC